This 497-nucleotide ribosomal RNA is filed under the name uncultured bacterium. Its description in RNAcentral is "partial 16S ribosomal RNA". It matches the Rfam family "Bacterial small subunit ribosomal RNA", at positions 28 to 507 of the family's 1533-position model. The record is from RNAcentral.
GAUGAACGCUGGCGGCGUGCCUAAUACAUGCAAGUCGAGCGAACGGACGAGAAGCUUGCUUCUCUGAUGUUAGCGGCGGACGGGUGAGUAACACGUGGAUAACCUACCUAUAAGACUGGGAUAACUUCGGGAAACCGGAGCUAAUACCGGAUAAUAUUUUGAACCGCAUGGUUCAAAAGUGAAAGACGGUCUUGCUGUCACUUAUAGAUGGAUCCGCGCUGCAUUAGCUAGUUGGUAAGGUAACGGCUUACCGAGGCAACGAUGCAUAGCCGACCUGAGAGGGUGAUCGGCCACACUGGAACUGAGACACGGUCCAGACUCCUACGGGAGGCAGCAGUAGGGAAUCUUCCGCAAAGGGCGAAAGCCUGACGGAGCAACGCCGCGUGAGUGAUGAAGGUCUUCGGAUCGUAAAACUCUGUUAUUAGGGAAGAACAUAUGCGUACGUAACUGUGCACAUCUUGACGGUACCUAAUCAGAAAGCCACGGCUAACUACGUG